UGGCGGACGGGUGAGAAACACGUGGGCAACCUGCCUCAAAGAGGGGAAUAGCCCUCCGAAAGGAGGAUUAAUACCGCAUAAAGUUAGAGUUUCGCAUGAAACUUUAACCAAAGGAGUAAUCUGCUUUGAGAUGGGCCCGCGUCCCAUUAGCUAGUUGGUAAGGUAAUGGCUUACCAAGGCAACGAUGGGUAGCCGACCUGAGAGGGUGAUCGGCCACAUUGGAACUGAGACACGGUCCAGACUCCUACGGGAGGCAGCAGUGGGGAAUAUUGCGCAAUGGGGGAAACCCUGACGCAGCAACGCCGCGUGGGUGAUGAAGGUUUUCGGAUCGUAAAACCCUGUUUUCUGGGACGAUAAUGACGGUACCAGAUGAGGAAGCCACGGCUAACUACGUGCCAGCAGCCGCGGUAAU
This 412-nucleotide ribosomal RNA is filed under the name uncultured bacterium. Its description in RNAcentral is "bacterial SSU rRNA". It matches the Rfam family "Bacterial small subunit ribosomal RNA", at positions 96 to 524 of the family's 1533-position model. The record is from RNAcentral.